Molecule: long non-coding RNA, 1219 nt
Organism: Capra hircus (goat)
Lineage: Eukaryota; Metazoa; Chordata; Mammalia; Artiodactyla; Bovidae
Source: Ensembl
GGCCAGCAGGAUAGGAUCUCACGUUUCUGUUGGGAUGUAGAGUUCACAUACUUAUGAUGUCACUAAACAUUUCUGCCAAUGAGGAGAUAGGAAGGGACCACAAGGUUCUACUCUUGAAGAGAAGGCUAGGAUGGGCCUCAGUGUUAAAAAGUACUAUAGAAAACAAAAUGUAAUCAAAAGAUGAAAACUGAAACAGAAAUAUUAAAAGAAGAAAUAAGAGAAAAGUCAGCACCCUUUUGUGCGAAAUGUGGGAUAGUUAAACCAUACCGAGUUCUUAUCCUCAUCUGCAGUUUCACUGGUUCUGCCCUUCUCUGGUGGGCCUUCAACCUCUCAACCUGGGUGAAGAUAGAAAACUCAAACCAAUCCUUCUUCAGUGCUCUCUUUGCAAUAUGCAGUGAUGAGAUCAAAUGUUGGGUCCCACCAUCAAAAUCAAGUAAGUUCUGGCCUUGAAAGGGAGAGCCCUGCUUCAACCCUGUCCCUUCCCAGAAGUUUCAACCUCUUUUUCUGCCCCAGCAUACCUGAAGGAAGCAAUUAUAAGCCCACCAGUAACAGUGGCUCAUUUCAGAAUGAGCCAGGGGACCAGGCCUCUCAAGGGAUACCAGCCCAGCUAGAAUCACUAUUUUAGAUCUUUUGGCAGCUUACUUCUCCUUCCAUCCCUAAGCUUCCCACCAGUUGCCAUUGAUUCCUACCACUGCUUUUUUAGUAUUCUGGGGAUUCAGACCCAGAAAGAAGGGGGCCCUAGAGGGAGCUCCUGGCCUUUCUCCCCUCUCCCUCCCUAAUUCAGACUACUACAUAUUUGGUCAAAUUUUCAUGAUCAGCGCCCUUCUUCUCUCCUUCUUCCUGAGCUUUAUACUCCUAGCCUUCCCGCAUUCCCUUCCUGAUACCCGGAAACAGUACUUCAUCUUCACAACCACCUUCUUCAUCACAGGUAUCUGUGUGUUCCUUGCACUACUACUGCAUUAUCUGUAUAUUUUGAAAACAACUAACAUUUAUAAGAACAUGAAAAUCACCUUUCUCUACCCCUCUUUCCUCCUCAUAUUCAGCACCAUACUGUUUUUCUUAUCUGGAAUUCUCUGCUUGUGCAGCACCCAUCAUUGUUGGCUUCAGUGUGUCUUAGUACAACCAAUCCAAGUGAAACCCAUGCAACUCUCAGUGGACAAUGGGAACUCAGUCACAGAAAGGAUACCGGGUAGAGAUGGCUAGCCCAACGUCAGUGAUG